CAGGCUUAACACAUGCAAGUCGAGGGGCAGCAUGGUCUUAGCUUGCUAAGGCCGAUGGCGACCGGCGCACGGGUGAGUAACACGUAUCCAACCUGCCGUCUACUCUUGGACAGCCUUCUGAAAGGAAGAUUAAUACAAGAUGGCAUCAUGAGUCCGCAUGUUCACAUGAUUAAAGGUAUUCCGGUAGACGAUGGGGAUGCGUUCCAUUAGAUAGUAGGCGGGGUAACGGCCCACCUAGUCUUCGAUGGAUAGGGGUUCUGAGAGGAAGGUCCCCCACAUUGGAACUGAGACACGGUCCAAACUCCUACGGGAGGCAGCAGUGAGGAAUAUUGGUCAAUGGGCGAGAGCCUGAACCAGCCAAGUAGCGUGAAGGAUGACUGCCCUAUGGGUUGUAAACUUCUUUUAUAAAGGAAUAAAGUCGGGUAUGGAUACCCGUUUGCAUGUACUUUAUGAAUAAGGAUCGGCUAACUCCGUGCCAGCAGCCGCGGUAAUACGGAGGAUCCGAGCGUUAUCCGGAUUUAUUGGGUUUAAAGGGAGCGUAGAUGGAUGUUUAAGUCAGUUGUGAAAGUUUGCGGCUCAACCGUAAAAUUGCAGUCGAUACUGGAUAUCUUGAGUGCAGUUGAGGCAGGCGGAAUUCGUGGUGUAGCGGUGAAAUGCUUAGAUAUCACGAAGAACUCCGAUUGCGAAGGCAGCCUGCUAAGCUGCAACUGACAUUGAGGCUCGAAAGUGUGGGUAUCAAACAGGAUUAGAUACCCUGGUAGUCCACACGGUAAACGAUGAAUACUCGCUGUUUGCGAUAUACUGCAAGCGGCCAAGCGAAAGCGUUAAGUAUUCCACCUGGGGAGUACGCCGGCAACGGUGAAACUCAAAGGAAUUGACGGGGGCCCGCACAAGCGGAGGAACAUGUGGUUUAAUUCGAUGAUACGCGAGGAACCUUACCCGGGCUUAAAUUGCAGAUGAAUUACGGUGAAAGCCGUAAGCCGCAAGGCAUCUGUGAAGGUGCUGCAUGGUUGUCGUCAGCUCGUGCCGUGAGGUGUCGGCUUAAGUGCCAUAACGAGCGCAACCCUUGUUGUCAGUUACUAACAGGUUCCGCUGAGGACUCUGACAAGACUGCCAUCGUAAGAUGUGAGGAAGGUGGGGAUGACGUCAAAUCAGCACGGCCCUUACGUCCGGGGCUACACACGUGUUACAAUGGGGGGUACAGAGGGCCGCUACCACGCGAGUGGAUGCCAAUCCCCAAAACCUCUCUCAGUUCGGACUGGAGUCUGCAACCCGACUCCACGAAGCUGGAUUCGCUAGUAAUCGCGCACCAGCCACGGCGCGGUGAAUACGUUCCCGGGCCUUGUACACACCGCCCGUCAAGCCAUGGGAGCCGGGGGUACCUGAAGUGCGUAACCGCGAGGAGCGCCCUAGGGUAAAACUGGUGACUGGGGCUAAGUC
This 1440-nucleotide ribosomal RNA is filed under the name uncultured organism. RNAcentral describes it as "16S ribosomal RNA". It matches the Rfam family "Bacterial small subunit ribosomal RNA". The record is from RNAcentral.